Molecule: long non-coding RNA, 705 nt
Organism: Bubalus bubalis (water buffalo)
Lineage: Eukaryota; Metazoa; Chordata; Mammalia; Artiodactyla; Bovidae
Exons: 3
Source: RefSeq, a predicted model, not a curated record
UUGCCACAGAUUGUGCUUCACUGAGCACAGAGCCAUCUCUGGAAGAUAAAAAAGUACUAGGAGAAGAGAAAAGUUGCCAUGGGAUAUAGUCUCAGCAGAAAAUCUAAGCUAACUUCUCUGAUGCUGGAUAGACUUCCACAGUUAUCCCCGUAUAGGGUGAGAGCGCUAGGCCCUCAUGCAUGUGAUUUCAUGUGAGCUACGCUGAGUGGAGGGAAAGGUCCUGCGAGUGCUGACUUGUUUCAGAUGAACCAGUUCUUAAAAAGAUCUGACAGCUGAGGGUAGUUUGCCGCUAGGCAUCCUGGGAACUAGGCAAAUACGUCUCUCCUUCCUAACGUGGUACUUGGCAGAGCCUCAGCAUCUCCUUCUUGACGAGGUGUGUCACAGAGCAUCAGAGUGUUCUUUCUGACUGCUAAGCCAAGAUGGACAGGAUGUUUGGCUGUUUGGGUUUGGAAUGUCAGCAGGAGGAUCUGUGCUGGAGACUGGGGUUAUACAAGAAACACUGCUGACGUAAAGUGCCAUUUUAAGCAUGUCAUAUCAAGAGUACACACUAGCAAGGCUUUUACAUUUUGUUAGGAUGGAAUGGAGACUUCCAAACUCCUUACAUGCCAGACUGGAAACCAUAAGUUUUUUCACUGUAACUCUACUGAGUUAGUUGAUCUAACGGUUUUGUUUUUUGUUUUGUUUUGUUUUGUUUUGUGGGGGGAG